AACUUGUUGCAACGGGUCACGUGGUUCUGGCAUCGAUUAAGAACGCAGCGAAAUGCGAUAAGUAAUGUGAAUUGCAGAAUUCAGUGAAUCAUCGAAUCUUUGAACGCACAUUGCGCCCCUUGGUAUUCCGAGGGGCAUGCCUGUUCGAGCGUCAUUAUAACCACUCAAGCCUCGGCUUGGUCUUGGGGUCCCGCGGUCUCGCGGCCCUUAAAAUCAGUGGCGGUGCCGUCUGGCUCUAAGCGUAGUAAUUCUCUCGCUAUAGGGUCCAGGUGGUGGCUUGCCAAAACCCCCCAUUUUUCUAUGGUUGACCUCGGAUCAGGUAGGGAUACCCGCUGAACUUAAGCAUAUCAAUAAGCGGAGGCU
This 363-nucleotide unclassified non-coding RNA is filed under the name uncultured Meliniomyces. RNAcentral describes it as "sequence contains ITS2". The stretch from base 1 to 154 matches the Rfam family "5.8S ribosomal RNA". Lineage: Eukaryota; Fungi; Ascomycota; Leotiomycetes; Helotiales; Helotiaceae. The record is from RNAcentral.